Molecule: transfer RNA, 74 nt
Filed under: Agrococcus citreus
Lineage: Bacteria; Bacillati; Actinomycetota; Actinomycetes; Micrococcales; Microbacteriaceae
Also listed under: 6 other names
Description: tRNA-Arg
Rfam family: tRNA
About the family: Transfer RNA (tRNA) molecules are approximately 80 nucleotides in length. Their secondary structure includes four short double-helical elements and three loops (D, anti-codon, and T loops).
Source: RNAcentral
GCGCCCGUAGCUCAACGGAUAGAGCAUCUGACUACGGAUCAGAAGGUUGGGGGUUCGAAUCCCUCCGGGCGCGC